GCAUAUCAAUAAGCGGAGGAAAAGAAAAUAACAAUGAUUCCCCCAGUAACUGCGAGUGAAGAGGGACAAGCUCAAAUUUUAAAUCUGUCGGGUUCUCCUGACCGAGUUGUAAUUUGAAGAAGCGUUUUCCGCGCCGUUUGAUCAGCCCAAGUCUUAUUGAAUGAGGCAUCAUGGAGGGUGAUAAUCCCGUUCGGUUGAUCAAUUGUGCUUUAUGAUACGCUUUCAAAGAGUCAAGUUGUUUGGGAUUGCAGCUUAAAAUGGGAGGUAAAUUUCUCCUAAGGCUAAAUAUUGGCGAGAGACCGAUAGCGAACAAGUACCGUGAGGGAAAGAUGAAAAGAACUUUGAAAAGAGAGUUAAACAGUACGUGAAAUUGUUGAAAGGGAAACGAUUGAAGCCAGUCGUACCGGCGGGUAAUCAGCCUUUCGGGUAUGAUUCUGUGGAGCGUGAGGAGUUAAACGCCUUCAUGCCUGCAUAUUCGUGCUCUUGGGUGUACUUGCUCGUGUGGUUGGUUAACAUCAAUUUCGGAUAUCAUAAAAUGGCUGGAGGAAUGUAGCUUCGAUUUCGAUUGAAGUGUUAUAGCCUUCGGCAGAUGUGAUGAUCGGGAUUGAGGAUUGCAACGGAUACCCUUCGGGGCUACCUGUCUGAUCUCUGAUCGUUGCUUUGGUGCCGAAAGCUUGCUUACGGUUAUCAAAGUCGAUGGUCAACAGGUUAGAACGGGUUAAAUUCGUUAAGGAUGUUGACGUA
RNAcentral lists this ribosomal RNA (744 nucleotides) under uncultured fungus. RNAcentral describes it as "eukaryotic LSU rRNA". It matches the Rfam family "Eukaryotic large subunit ribosomal RNA", at positions 38 to 633 of the family's 3401-position model. Lineage: Eukaryota; Fungi. The record is from RNAcentral.